This 430-nucleotide ribosomal RNA is filed under the name bacterium. RNAcentral's name for it is "bacterial SSU rRNA". It matches the Rfam family "Bacterial small subunit ribosomal RNA", at positions 354 to 776 of the family's 1533-position model. The record is from RNAcentral.
GUAGGGAAUCUUCCACAAUGGACGAAAGUCUGAUGGAGCAACGCCGCGUGAGCGAUGAAGGCCUUCGGGUCGUAAAGCUCUGUUGUUAGGGAAGAACAAGUAUCGGAGUAACUGCCGGUACCUUGACGGUACCUAACCAGAAAGCCACGGCUAACUACGUGCCAGCAGCCGCGGUAAUACGUAGGUGGCAAGCGUUGUCCGGAAUUAUUGGGCGUAAAGCGCGCGCAGGCGGUCCUUUAAGUCUGAUGUGAAAGCCCACGGCUCAACCGUGGAGGGUCAUUGGAAACUGGGGGACUUGAGUGCAGAAGAGGAAAGCGGAAUUCCACGUGUAGCGGUGAAAUGCGUAGAGAUGUGGAGGAACACCAGUGGCGAAGGCGGCUUUCUGGUCUGUAACUGACGCUGAGGCGCGAAAGCGUGGGGAGCAAACAGG